UCGCGGGUGACUGCGAAUCCGAAGGAAGCCCGAGGCAAAAUGCUGGCCUGACGAACAGGAAGCGGAUAGAGGCGGCGCAGCGGGGUUAGACGGCCCAAAUCAUCAAAGCCCAAUACUUACACAGAAUACUGUGACGUAAAUCCGACAGGCAUAAGCAGAAAGGUCGCGCGA
This 171-nucleotide non-coding RNA is filed under the name Pseudomonas sp. SJZ080. The record is from RNAcentral. Lineage: Bacteria; Pseudomonadati; Pseudomonadota; Gammaproteobacteria; Pseudomonadales; Pseudomonadaceae.